Long non-coding RNA from Quercus robur (English oak), 868 nucleotides. RefSeq lists it as uncharacterized. The record is from RefSeq and is a predicted model, not a curated record. The transcript is spliced from 3 exons. Lineage: Eukaryota; Viridiplantae; Streptophyta; Magnoliopsida; Fagales; Fagaceae.
CGGUGCUUUUCAGUUUUCACCUAUUCACUGAUGAGACCUCUCACGCCCGUGUAAAUGUUUGACUCCGGAUAAAAGGUGUCUCUUUUUUUGUUUUUAUUUACUUUUAUUUUUUUAUGCACCGUAUAAAAAUUAUUUUGUAAUGAAAUUUCCAGAUUAUAGUUUUCAAUGAAAAUAUACCGUAUCAAAACAGACUCUCACCUCUCUUUAUAUACUCCUCAACACUUUCUCAUCUUCCACACCCCAAUAACCUCAAAGAGAAGAAGAGGCUUCAUAUGUGUGAGGCUCGAACUCGAUUGUGCAAUAUGAAGGAAGGUAAAGCCUUUUCAACGCUCGAAAAGGAUUAGGCAAUAAAGAUCCAAGACUGGUGGUUCAAGUUUGGGAGGGGGUGGAAUAAAGAAUGUUUACUCCUAAGCCAACGUGUUAUAUUCGGUGGAAGUUGGAAGAGAACACGUUUAUUUUGGAAUGGAAGGAUUUGGAAAGAAGGACCUUUUAUUACCAACUGAAGAAUAAAAUGACAAAAAAGAAUCAUGUUGGAGAUUUAGGCGUAGCAAAAUAUAUUUCCCACAUAAAAUAAAAAUCAGAUGAGAUAAUAAGGUAAGGCAAGUGCAAGGCAAGACAAGUUGUUGAAGAAUUAGAAUUGCAUCUCAUCACAGUUCCUCAGGUUGCAAAGUUACUUUUUUACUUUGCUUCAGUGUACCACAACUAAAGAUUAUAAGUUUUUUGUUAAUGUUAAGUUUUUUUUGUUUUGCUUAUUAAUUUAUAGGUCUAGAAAUUAACAGAUUUAUUAUUAUUGUACAAACAUGUGCUUUAUAAAUAUUAGAAGCUAAUACAUUGUAAAAUAUUAUGUAUUGUUGUAAUUGCAGUUAAU